UUCGCCUCCGACCGCCGGAGUCCUAUUGAUGAUCCAAGUGCGCCUACAGACUCAAAAUAACGCGUGGAUGAUGAUUCUAGCUUUUGAUUUUUCAAUUUAGACCUUGAUCAUCUUGAAUCAUCCAGCAAUUUUCAACCGUCGACUUUUUCACGGAGUCCGGUUACCACGAAAUAGAUGCCACCAGAAAGCUUAUGACAAGAAGAGUUUGAAUGUGUCCUCUAAUCAUCGGAAUUUAAUGGUAUUGGUCGAAAAAGUGAAAAAUUUGAACUGCCCCUACACUCUUUACCUUGUCGGAUUUUACAAUUCCAGCAGCUGCAAUGGGUAACAAUGGAUGGAAAAAGAAGCCCAGAAGCUGUUGAUCAUUUUGAGCCUGAGAAUGCCACAAAUGGUCGCCGGAAACUCCAUGAACAUCAUCAUGAAGUUCUCCCUUUUUCUUGCCGAAUUCCACCAUUUGCGUCUGUUGAUCAUUGCGGCCGAUGCUGCUGCCACAUUUGUCAGCCUCUCCUCUUCCACCAGCCGUCGCCACCACAUCUCAGACAGCCUCCUCCCAAUUUCUGCCAUUAAUGGCAACUUCCCUGUCCUCCUUAUUCUUCGUCCUUCCUCUCUUUCUUUCUUUUUUCUUUUCUUUCUUUUCCGUCCAUACCCAUAUUUAG
Molecule: long non-coding RNA, 653 nt
Filed under: Ricinus communis (castor bean)
Lineage: Eukaryota; Viridiplantae; Streptophyta; Magnoliopsida; Malpighiales; Euphorbiaceae
Description: long non-coding RNA (RCOM_LNC003204)
Source: RNAcentral